CUGCAUAGCACGAGCCUUGUUUUGUAGGAAUAAGUGUCUUUUUCUCACUGAAGGGAAUAGUUUGACGUCCUAAAGGUUGGUUUUCUUUGGGACUGAUGCCAGGAGUGGAGGAAAGGCAAGUUUUUCCUUCACCCUCUCUCUGCUGAUAGACACAUGGACGGUCACACGAGUAGAGUGAAGGGCGCAGAGGAGGGGUGUUUUUCAGCCCGUUUUGCCCGGAAUAAUCUAAACAUUGCUCAGCUGGGUGGGGAGAAGAGCAGAGCUGCCGUGGGGCCGUGGCCGAGGAGCGGCAGCCACAGGAGCAAGACUCUCCAUGUGUUUAGUCUUCUCGAAAGAACAUGCCAGAUGUUAGAAUGCAGGCAGAGCUCCCAGAGGCUGGAGGACAAUGGUGGGGGUGAGGCAGAGCCGCCUCUGCCGUGUUGUGUCUGCGCUCCCAUCACAUCCCAUUACUGUCUCCAGUGCAGAUGGCACUUUGAACCACUCCACACGCCCACAGCCAACCAG
Molecule: long non-coding RNA, 504 nt
Filed under: Manacus vitellinus (golden-collared manakin)
Lineage: Eukaryota; Metazoa; Chordata; Aves; Passeriformes; Pipridae
Description: lncRNA (ENSMVIG00005016768.1)
Source: RNAcentral